Molecule: transfer RNA, 61 nt
Filed under: Camelus bactrianus (Bactrian camel)
Lineage: Eukaryota; Metazoa; Chordata; Mammalia; Artiodactyla; Camelidae
Also listed under: 2 other names
Rfam family: tRNA
About the family: Transfer RNA (tRNA) molecules are approximately 80 nucleotides in length.
Source: Rfam by way of RNAcentral
UACAGCUCAGUGGUAGAGCACGUGCCUAGCAAGCAUUAAGUCCUGGGUUCAAUCCCCAGUA